RNAcentral lists this transfer RNA (72 nucleotides) under Bos taurus (domestic cattle). It matches the Rfam family "tRNA". Rfam says of the family: Transfer RNA (tRNA) molecules are approximately 80 nucleotides in length. RNAcentral also lists the same sequence under 4 other names. The record is from Rfam by way of RNAcentral. Lineage: Eukaryota; Metazoa; Chordata; Mammalia; Artiodactyla; Bovidae.
UCCCUGGUGGCUCAGAGGUUAAAGCAUCUGCCUGCAAUGCAGGACACCCAGGUUCGAUCCCUGGGUUGGGAA